UGACCGCUUUCCUCCGGAAAGCUAAGGCUACACGGACGGCCGGGUCAAAUGCCGA
RNAcentral lists this small RNA (55 nucleotides) under Firmicutes bacterium CAG:137. RNAcentral's name for it is "Streptococcus sRNA SpF59 (ldcC RNA)". It matches the Rfam family "Streptococcus sRNA SpF59 (ldcC RNA)". The record is from Rfam by way of RNAcentral. Lineage: Bacteria; Bacillati; Bacillota.